AAGUGCUGAAAGCAUCUAAGCACGAAACUUGCCCCGAGAUGAGUUCUCCCUGACUCCUUGAGAGUCCUGAAGGAACGUUGAAGACGACGACGUUGAUAGGUCGGGUGUGUAAGCGUAGCGAUACGUUGAGCUAACCGAUACUAAUGAACCGUGAGGCUUAACCUUACAACGCCGAAGCUGUU
This 182-nucleotide ribosomal RNA is filed under the name Klebsiella ornithinolytica. RNAcentral's name for it is "Raoultella ornithinolytica partial 23S ribosomal RNA". It matches the Rfam family "Bacterial large subunit ribosomal RNA", at positions 2766 to 2925 of the family's 2925-position model. Lineage: Bacteria; Pseudomonadati; Pseudomonadota; Gammaproteobacteria; Enterobacterales; Enterobacteriaceae. The record is from RNAcentral.